This 199-nucleotide long non-coding RNA is filed under the name Elaeis guineensis (African oil palm). RNAcentral describes it as "long non-coding RNA (EGUI_LNC036581)". Lineage: Eukaryota; Viridiplantae; Streptophyta; Magnoliopsida; Arecales; Arecaceae. The record is from RNAcentral.
GGGUUAAAGCAGUGCUGGUUGAAAUUAAAAAUUUCUUCAAUUAUGUAAGCCUCCAUAAUAGAACGUUUGAUUCUGAUCUUAUUUUUCACUUUCUUCUUAAGACUGUGCAUGUAUCUUUUAAAUAAAUAUAUCCACCUGUGCUGUACUGGUCUCCCAACCCUAGCUUCAUAUGCUAGAUGAGUCAUGUGGUGCUCCAUGC